GGCCCAUUAGCUCAGUUGGUUAGAGCGUGGUGCUAAUAACGCCAAGGUCGCAGGUUCGAGACAUGCAUGGGCCA
This is a non-coding RNA of Triticum aestivum (bread wheat), 74 nucleotides long. Lineage: Eukaryota; Viridiplantae; Streptophyta; Magnoliopsida; Poales; Poaceae. The record is from Rfam.